Long non-coding RNA from Oreochromis aureus, 669 nucleotides. The record is from Ensembl. Lineage: Eukaryota; Metazoa; Chordata; Actinopteri; Cichliformes; Cichlidae.
GUUCGUCCAGCCGCACCUCAGACCUUUUCUGCUUUAAACUGAGAUCCUCUGCGGGUUACCCUUCUGAAGCCUCCAUCGCAGCUGGGCUGUUUGAUGACGAUUUGGACUCCUCUGGGUGAUGAGGACACACCCACAUCUGUUCCAUACUGCAGCCAUGGAUGGUGUUACAGCUCUGAGUCCGCUUUGGGCCAUCAGAUGCACACACUGGAAAACCAGCGCCUGUACUUCAUGCAGGAGAGAUGACCUCAGUGAUAAUUCAUCAGCAGCUGUGAAGAGAUGUAUUUGAAUAUCUUCUGGUUCCACUUUUCUUAACCUGGAAGCUGAGGAUGGCUAAUUCCUGACAAGGACACACACCUCAGCGCUUAUCAUGGGUGUUACAUCCUCUGCGCAGCAAUUCCAGAGAAAACGAGAGAGCAACGACCACACAUUAAGACCAGACAGAAAUCUGUCCCUUUCUGGCAGCUGUGGAAACUUCCAAUAAGAAAGUUUGCAUUCUUAGAACAAUGCUGGGUCAUGUGUGAUGUGUCAUUAUAUGAGGAUAUUACAUUUUAACUUAAUUCUGCUCAAUUAAGUGUUUUGUUCGUUGAUCCAAUAUGGCAGCUUUUAUUGUGCUCCAAGUUAAAACUCAUUGUCCUCAUGAGCACAGCAUCUAACAACUCUCCUUAAAAA